This 203-nucleotide ribosomal RNA is filed under the name uncultured bacterium. RNAcentral's name for it is "partial 16S ribosomal RNA". It matches the Rfam family "Bacterial small subunit ribosomal RNA", at positions 1302 to 1500 of the family's 1533-position model. The record is from RNAcentral.
GGUCUGCAACUCGACUGCACGAAGCUGGAAUCGCUAGUAAUCGCGGAUCAGCACGCCGCGGUGAAUACGUUCCCGGGCCUUGUACACACCGCCCGUCACACCAUGGAAGUCUGCAAUGCCCGAAGCCGGUGGCCUAACCACUUAUGUGGAAGGAGCCGUCUAAGGCAGGGCAGAUGACUGGGGUGAAGUCGUAACAAGGUACC